Molecule: long non-coding RNA, 1279 nt
Filed under: Homo sapiens (human)
Lineage: Eukaryota; Metazoa; Chordata; Mammalia; Primates; Hominidae
Description: HSALNT0303835
Source: RNAcentral
GGCAUUGUCCCCACUCAGAAAUGCUCCAAAAGAACUAAGGAGAAGGAUUAGAGGAGACAAAAUGUUUUUGCUAAAUUCUUGCACUGAAGCCAGAGUUGCUCAGGAAAUAACAGCUCAGUUUGUUAGCUCUGAUCUCUAAUUCCAUCCCAAAUUCAUAACGUUAUUUUUUUUGUUUGUUUCCAUUGUUCAUUUGUUGUGUGCCUCUUAGGAUGUCCCUUUCCAUCUGGGCCUCAAUGACCUUCCCUGGGAAAUGGGGUACUUGUACUUAACCAUACCCCUGCUUCUAAAGACAAACUGGGAAAAUUAAAUGGAAAUUCUAAAAGAAAGCUUCAUCUUUUAGUUCCUUAGAGAACUAGCAUUACAGUUGAUUACCUAGGUGAUGAUUCAAGCUAUUCAACCCUUGUCAUUCUGAAUGUACUUCUCUUCCAGCUUGCCUUGGAAAGAAAAUCAGCCAGUUAAAGAAAGCAUCAGCUGGAACUCUCUCAGCUCUCAGUGACUGCAGAGUGAACUAUGGCAUUCAGCAUAGAAAAUGUUCUUCCAGUGCUCCAAUAAAUAGCAUUCAGUUUUUAGCCCCAGGGAAUUCAGUGUAGCCCUGGUUACUCCUCACUGCCACAGCCAACACUGCUUCCUUGGGUAGGAGAAAUGAUUUAUGGAGGUGAGCAGCCAUUCCAAACUUUAAUUAAGCACGUAAAGAACCAUCAAUUUUUUAAAGGGCACCAACCCAGAAAGAUGAGAGCUGAACUCCUGUAGAACAUAAUUACCUUUCCAACAUUUUAUCUGAUCUCCUUGUUUUACUUCUCUAAGAUGAGCUGAACAACAGCCAAUCAACCACCCCCACAGAAACCAUGGAAAUGCACAGGCCACCCUUGGACCAUGACAUACAGGGCAUCUGACUGAUAGUCCCACCAAGACUGCCUAUGAUCAUAAAUGUCCAGCUGUUUGGGCAGACAGCAGUCAAGGCUGUGCUGUGGUGCAGUUUACUCCUGCAGAGAAAGAUGUGCCUAAAAGAGAAGCAGCACCUACCUGGAAGACUCAGGAGACAAAGAGGGAAAGAAAUGAAUCCCCAAGAUUUCCUGGGCUGAGCCUAACAGGAUAUGAGAAGCAGAAACUUCUGGAUUGUGAGAAGAAACAAAGGAAGAAGAGAGAUGCUCUAUAGGAGAAAAAUCACAGACAAUAAGUGGGGAGAGCAAGAAGACAAAGUUUUGUUACUUUAAUUCACCACUCCUAUCCCCAGCCACCAGUGGCCAUCCUGUACUGGAUUCUAAACCCAGGGCCCUAA